AGUGAACGCUGGCGGUAGGCCUAACACAUGCAAGUCGAACGGCAGCACAGUAAGAGCUUGCUCUUACGGGUGGCGAGUGGCGGACGGGUGAGGAAUACAUCGGAAUCUACUUUUUCGUGGGGGAUAACGUAGGGAAACUUACGCUAAUACCGCAUACGACCUACGGGUGAAAGCAGGGGAUCUUCGGACCUUGCGCGAUUGAAUGAGCCGAUGUCGGAUUAGCUAGUUGGCGGGGUAAAGGCCCACCAAGGCGACGAUCCGUAGCUGGUCUGAGAGGAUGAUCAGCCACACGGGAACUGAGACACGGUCCAGACUCCUACGGGAGGCAGCAGUGGGGAAUAUUAGACAAUGGGCGCAAGCCUGAUCCAGCCAUACCGCGUGGGUGAAGAAGGCCUUCGGGUUGUAAAGCCCUUUUGUUGGGAAAGAAAAGCAGCAGGUUAAUACCCCGCUGUUCUGACGGUACCCAAAGAAUAAGCACCGGCUAACUUCGUG
Molecule: ribosomal RNA, 492 nt
Filed under: uncultured bacterium
Lineage: Bacteria
Description: partial 16S ribosomal RNA
Rfam family: Bacterial small subunit ribosomal RNA
Source: RNAcentral